AUUUCCUCUGGCGUGAGGCCUUCAACUGGAGAAUCAUGAGACUGGAGAUAUUGCAAGUGCCUGAAAUUUUCAUCUUGUUUAAUAUCUUUCACGUCCAGCAUAAUGCCUUGCCCAUUCUUCACAUUGGGCCCAGUGCAGAUCACUGAAUCCUCUGCAUAAUUUGGCUGCAAAUGUGGAUGCUUCAAGUCAUCAGUUUCUGUAGAAGUACGGCCAUCAUGGAAGAACUGCACAUUCCCCUCAGUCAUCAUAGAAUGACGACUUAGGGAAAUAAACCUCGUCUUGUGUCUGUAAAAUGGAGGAGC
RNAcentral lists this unclassified non-coding RNA (302 nucleotides) under Hevea brasiliensis (rubber tree). The record is from RNAcentral. Lineage: Eukaryota; Viridiplantae; Streptophyta; Magnoliopsida; Malpighiales; Euphorbiaceae.